RNAcentral lists this ribosomal RNA (577 nucleotides) under Neofusicoccum luteum. Its description in RNAcentral is "eukaryotic LSU rRNA". The stretch from base 218 to 371 matches the Rfam family "5.8S ribosomal RNA". Lineage: Eukaryota; Fungi; Ascomycota; Dothideomycetes; Botryosphaeriales; Botryosphaeriaceae. The record is from RNAcentral.
ACAAGGUUUCCGUAGGUGAACCUGCGGAAGGAUCAUUACCGAGUUGAUUCGAGCUCCGGCUCGACUCUCCCACCCCAUGUGUACCUACCUCUGUUGCUUUGGCGGGCCGCGGUCCUCCGCACCGACCCCCGUUCGGGGGGCCGGCCAGCGCCCGCCAGAGGACCACAAAACUCCAGUCAGUAAACGUCGCAGUCUGAGAAACAAGUUAAUAAACUAAAACUUUCAACAACGGAUCUCUUGGUUCUGGCAUCGAUGAAGAACGCAGCGAAAUGCGAUAAGUAAUGUGAAUUGCAGAAUUCAGUGAAUCAUCGAAUCUUUGAACGCACAUUGCGCCCCUUGGUAUUCCGAGGGGCAUGCCUGUUCGAGCGUCAUUUCAACCCUCAAGCUCUGCUUGGUAUUGGGCUCCGUCCUCUGUGGACGCGCCUCGAAGACCUCGGCGGUGGCGUCUUGCCUCAAGCGUAGUAGAAAACACCUCGCUUUGGAGCGCACGGCGUCGCCCGCCGGACGAACCUUUGAAUUUUUCUCAAGGUUGACCUCGGAUCAGGUAGGGAUACCCGCUGAACUUAAGCAUAUCAAU